UACAGAGGUCUCAAGCGUUGUUCGGAUUCAUUGGGCGUAAAGGGUGCGUAGGUGGCGCCGUAAGUCAGGUGUGAAAUCCCGGGGCUCAACCCCGGAACUGCACUUGAUACUGCGGUGCUUGAGUACUGGAGAGGAGAUUGGAAUUUACGGUGUAGCAGUGAAAUGCGUAGAUAUCGUAAGGAAGACCAGUGGCGAAGGCGAAUCUCUGGACAGUUACUGACACUGAGGCACGAAGGCCAGGGGAGCAAACGGG
This 253-nucleotide ribosomal RNA is filed under the name uncultured bacterium. RNAcentral describes it as "partial 16S ribosomal RNA". It matches the Rfam family "Bacterial small subunit ribosomal RNA", at positions 524 to 776 of the family's 1533-position model. The record is from RNAcentral.